Long non-coding RNA from Conger conger (European conger), 524 nucleotides. RefSeq lists it as uncharacterized. The record is from RefSeq and is a predicted model, not a curated record. The transcript is spliced from 3 exons. NCBI's taxonomy places the organism in Eukaryota, Metazoa, Chordata, Actinopteri, Anguilliformes, Congridae.
GCCGUGCUUGUUACAAACGGCAGUUUAGCCAGGCAGCUAAGACGGUGAGCGUUGACGAGGAUUUUAGUGUCGCAGCACUCACCUCCCAUGAGGAAGAGCAGGCCGGCUACGUACUGCAUGAGUCCCCGGUCCCAGCAGCAGCCGAGCACCCCGAUUAGCCAGCCGAACAGGAUUAUGGCCACGGCCAUGCCCAUGAACCCCGCCGUCAUCCGCCGGAGGUCUGCGGGAAAGCGAGUGAAUUUACAUCAUCCUAAAGCUCCGACGGAGAAGAGUGAGAGGGUGAUGGAUAGGACGGUGUGCUGCAGGUUUCACACACAACAGAAGUCCAGGCUCCCGCUCAGGGAACCAAUCACACAGCUCUUCCGGUCGUAGGUGAUGACACGGUGAACAUUCAUCUCCUGCCAGCACGCUUCUGAACUCAGAGACUGGACAGCUGUGGGGUCCUUUUUCUGAAUGGGACUGUGCCAUUCCGACAGCACGGGGCGAUGGGAACUGUCGUAGAAUGUUUCUAAUGUGAUUUUUGA